UACGAUCAGUGGACUACGUAG
This 21-nucleotide non-coding RNA is filed under the name Caenorhabditis elegans. The record is from RNAcentral. Lineage: Eukaryota; Metazoa; Nematoda; Chromadorea; Rhabditida; Rhabditidae.